This 564-nucleotide ribosomal RNA is filed under the name uncultured bacterium. RNAcentral describes it as "bacterial SSU rRNA". It matches the Rfam family "Bacterial small subunit ribosomal RNA", at positions 338 to 916 of the family's 1533-position model. The record is from RNAcentral.
CCUACGGGAGGCAGCAGUGGGGAAUCUUGCGCAAUGGGCGAAAGCCUGACGCAGCAACGCCGCGUGCGGGAUGAAGGCCCUAGGGUUGUAAACCGCUUUCAGUAGGAACGAAAAUGACGGUACCUGCAGAAGAAGGUGCGGCCAACUACGUGCCAGCAGCCGCGGUGACACGUAGGCACCAAGCGUUGUCCGGAUUUAUUGGGCGUAAAGAGCUCGUAGGCGGUUUAGUAAGUCGGGUGUGAAAACUCUGGGCUUAACCCAGAGCCGCCACUCGAUACUGCUGUGACUUGAGUUCGGUAGGGGAGCAGGGAAUUCCUAGUGUAGCGGUGAAAUGCGCAGAUAUUAGGAGGAACACCGGUGGCGAAGGCGCUGCUCUGGGCCGAUACUGACGCUGAGGAGCGAAAGCGUGGGUAGCAAACAGGAUUAGAUACCCUGGUAGUCCACGCCGUAAACGUUGGGCACUAGGUGUGGGUUCCAACCAACGGAAUCCGCGCCGUCGCUAACGCAUUAAGUGCCCCGCCUGGGGAGUACGGCGGCAACGCUAAAACUCAAAGGAAUUGACGG